CUAAUACAUGCAAGUCGAGCGAAUGGAUUGAGAGCUUGCUCUCAAGAAGUUAGCGGCGGACGGGUGAGUAACACGUGGGUAACCUGCCCAUAAGACUGGGAUAACUCCGGGAAACCGGGGCUAAUACCGGAUAACAUUUUGAACCGCAUGGUUCGAAAUUGAAAGGCGGCUUCGGCUGUCACUUAUGGAUGGACCCGCGUCGCAUUAGCUAGUUGGUGAGGUAACGGCUCACCAAGGCAACGAUGCGUAGCCGACCUGAGAGGGUGAUCGGCCACACUGGGACUGAGACACGGCCCAGACUCCUACGGGAGGCAGCAGUAGGGAAUCUUCCGCAAUGGACGAAAGUCUGACGGAGCAACGCCGCGUGAGUGAUGAAGGCUUUCGGGUCGUAAAACUCUGUUGUUAGGGAAGAACAAGUGCUAGUUGAAUAAGCUGGCACCUUGACGGUACCUAACCAGAAAGCCACGGCUAACUACGUGCCAGCAGCCGCGGUAAUACGUAGGUGGCAAGCGUUAUCCGGAAUUAUUGGGCGUAAAGCGCGCGCAGGUGGUUUCUUAAGUCUGAUGUGAAAGCCCACGGCUCAACCGUGGAGGGUCAUUGGAAACUGGGAGACUUGAGUGCAGAAGAGGAAAGUGGAAUUCCAUGUGUAGCGGUGAAAUGCGUAGAGAUAUGGAGGAACACCAGUGGCGAAGGCGAC
Molecule: ribosomal RNA, 697 nt
Filed under: uncultured Bacillus sp.
Lineage: Bacteria; Bacillati; Bacillota; Bacilli; Caryophanales; Bacillaceae
Description: bacterial SSU rRNA
Rfam family: Bacterial small subunit ribosomal RNA
Source: RNAcentral